RNAcentral lists this ribosomal RNA (870 nucleotides) under uncultured bacterium. RNAcentral describes it as "bacterial SSU rRNA". It matches the Rfam family "Bacterial small subunit ribosomal RNA", at positions 602 to 1471 of the family's 1533-position model. The record is from RNAcentral.
CAUUGGCUCAANCAAUGUAUGCUUUGGAAACUGUUAGACUUGAGUGCAGAAGGGGAGAGUGGAAUACCAUGUGUAGCGGUGAAAUGCGUAGAUAUAUGGAGGAACACCGGUGGCGAAAGCGGCUCUCUGNUCUGUCACUGACGCUGAGGCUCGAAAGCGUGGGUAGCGAACAGGAUUAGAUACCCUGGUAGUNCACGCCGUAAACGCUGAGUGCUAGGUGUUAGGUCCNUUCCGGGACUUAGUGCCGACGCUAACGCAUUAAGCACUCCGCCUGGGGAGUACGACCGCAAGGUUGAAACUCAAAGGAAUUGACGGGGGCCCGCACAAGCGGUGGAGCAUGUGGUUUAAUUCGAAGCAACGCGAAGAACCUUACCAGGUCUUGACAUCCCGAUGCCCGCUCUAGAGAUAGAGUUUUUCUUCGGAACAUCGGAGACAGGUGGUGCAUGGUUGUCGUCAGCUCGUGUCGUGAGAUGUUGGGUUAAGUCCCGCAACGAGCGCAACCCUUAUUGUUAGUUGCCAUCAUUAAGUUGGGCACUCUAGCGAGACUGCCGGUAAUAAACCGGAGGAAGGUGGGGAUGACGUCAAAUCAUCAUGCCCCUUAUGACCUGGGCUACACACGUGCUACAAUGGUUGGUACAACGAGUCGCAAGCCGGUGACGGCAAGCUAAUCUCUGAAAGCCAAUCUCAGUUCGGAUUGUAGGCUGCAACUCGCCUACAUGAAGUCGGAAUCGCUAGUAAUCGCGGAUCAGCACGCCGCGGUGAAUACGUUCCCGGGCCUUGUACACACCGCCCGUCACACCACGAGAGUUUGUAACACCCAAAGUCGGUGAGGUAACCAUUUAUGGGGCCAGCCGCCUAAGGUGGGANGGA